GACGAACGCUGGCGGCGUGCUUAACACAUGCAAGUCGAACGGUGAAGCGCCUUCCUUUUUGGUGGGUGUGGAUGAGUGGCGAACGGGUGAGUAACACGUGAGUAACCUGCCCCCUUCUUCUGGAUAACCGCAUGAAAGUGUGGCUAAUACGGGAUAUUCUGGGUCUGUCGCAUGAUGGGUCUGGGAAAGAUAUUGUUUCGGUGGGGGAUGGGCUCGCGGCCUAUCAGCUUGUUGGUGGGGUGAUGGCCUACCAAGGCGGUGACGGGUAGCCGGCCUGAGAGGGUGGACGGUCACACUGGGACUGAGACACGGCCCAGACUCCUACGAGAGGCAGCAGGGGGGAAUAUUGCACAAUGGGCGCAAGCCUGAUGCAGCGACGCCGCGUGAGGGAUGGAGGCCUUCGGGUUGUGAACCUCUUUCGCCAGUGAAGCAGGCCUGCCUCGUUUGUGGGUGGGUUGACGGUAGCUGGAGAAGAAGCGCCGGCUAACUACGUG
Molecule: ribosomal RNA, 494 nt
Filed under: uncultured bacterium
Lineage: Bacteria
Description: partial 16S ribosomal RNA
Rfam family: Bacterial small subunit ribosomal RNA
Source: RNAcentral